Molecule: ribosomal RNA, 510 nt
Filed under: uncultured bacterium
Lineage: Bacteria
Description: partial 16S ribosomal RNA
Rfam family: Bacterial small subunit ribosomal RNA
Source: RNAcentral
GACGAACGCUGGCGGCGUGCUUAACACAUGCAAGUCGAACGAAGAGCGAUGGAAGCUUGCUUCUAUCAAUCUUAGUGGCGCACGGGUGAGUAACGCGUAAUCAACCUGCCCUUCAGAGGGGGACAACAGUUGGAAACGACUGCUAAUACCGCAUACGAUCUAAUCUCGGCAUCGAGGAUAGAUGAAAGGUGGCCUCUACAUGUAAGCUAUCACUGAAGGAGGGGAUUGCGUCUGAUUAGCUAGUUGGAGGGGUAACGGCCCACCAAGGCGAUGAUCAGUAGCCGGUCUGAGAGGAUGAACGGCCACAUUGGGACUGAGACACGGCCCAGACUCCUACGGGGGGCAGCAGUGGGGAAUCUUCCGCAAUGGACGAAAGUCUGACGGAGCAACGCCGCGUGAGUGAUGACGGCCUUCGGGUUGUAAAGCUCUGUUAAUCGGGACGAAAGGCCUUCUUGCGAAUAGUGAGAAGGAUUGACGGUACCGGAAUAGAAAGCCACGGCUAACUACGUG